AUUGAACGCUGGCGGCAUGCUUUACACAUGCAAGUCGAACGGUAACAGGCCUUCGGGUGCUGACGAGUGGCGAACGGGUGAGUAAUGCAUCGGAACGUGCCCAAUCGUGGGGGAUAACGUAGCGAAAGUUACGCUAAUACCGCAUAAGCCCUGAGGGGGAAAGUGGGGGACCGCAAGGCCUCACGCGAAUGGAGCGGCCGAUGUCAGAUUAGCUAGUUGGUGGGGUAAAGGCCCACCAAGGCGACGAUCUGUAGCGGGUCUGAGAGGAUGAUCCGCCACACUGGGACUGAGACACGGCCCAGACUCCUACGGGAGGCAGCAGUGGGGAAUUUUGGACAAUGGGCGCAAGCCUGAUCCAGCCAUGCCGCGUGCGGGACGAAGGCCUCGGUUGUAAGGACACUUAAGUACGAGGAGGAAGGUUUUA
Molecule: ribosomal RNA, 424 nt
Filed under: uncultured bacterium
Lineage: Bacteria
Description: bacterial SSU rRNA
Rfam family: Bacterial small subunit ribosomal RNA
Source: RNAcentral